Molecule: ribosomal RNA, 508 nt
Filed under: uncultured bacterium
Lineage: Bacteria
Description: partial 16S ribosomal RNA
Rfam family: Bacterial small subunit ribosomal RNA
Source: RNAcentral
AUUGAACGCUGGCGGCAUGCCUUACACAUGCAAGUCGAACGGCAGCGGGGGAGAAGCUUGCUUUUCCUGCCGGCGAGUGGCGAACGGGUGAGUAAUACAUCGGAACGUGCCCUGUAGUGGGGGAUAACUAGUCGAAAGAUUAGCUAAUACCGCAUACGACCUGAGGGUGAAAGUGGGGGACCGCAAGGCCUCCAGCUAUCAGAGCGGCCGAUGUCUGAUUAGCUAGUUGGCGGGGUAAAGGCCUACCAAGGCGACGAUCAGUAGCUGGUCUGAGAGGACGAUCAGCCACACUGGGACUGAGACACGGCCCAGACUCCUACGGGAGGCAGCAGUGGGGAAUUUUGGACAAUGGGCGAAAGCCUGAUCCAGCAAUGCCGCGUGUGUGAAGAAGGCCUUCGGGUUGUAAAGCACUUUUGUCCGGAAAGAAAUGGCUCUGGUUAAUACCUGGGGUCGAUGACGGUACCGGAAGAAUAAGGACCGGCUAACUACGUGCCAGCCGCCGCGGUAA